UGGUCUGAAACCAACAGCACAAUAUAUGAUCACACAACACUAUAGCAAGGGGCACAUGCCAGGAAGCCUGAAUAUAACAAUUUUAACUGCAUUGUUAUUAUUGAGGCUUUUUUUUUUUAAUAGUGGUAUGUUUGUUGUUGUUGUUGUUGUUUUCUUUCCCUUUAUUUUAAGUCAAAUCUGGUUAAUAAAAAUCUGGCUUGGCAUAAAAAAAAAUGUAUUUUCUUUUUCCUAUACCAGGCCUUUGAAUGCAACAAAAGAACAAAUGAACUCCAUACCUCUGAGAGCCCUUCAAAACUGAAUGGAUCCUGUCACAAACAAGCUGUCAUGCCUGAGGGAAGAAUAGGUGGUGACCUAGCUGCCAUGAGGUCUACAGGGUUUCUGUUCCCCCUCACCACCUGCCUUCUUCAGCACCAGUGUCCUCCAGGACAGGAAACACGUGUCUGGCCAGACCCAGUUCCUGGGUCAAGCCACUGUAUUCUGGUGCUGGAGAGGAAGAGAUUUCCAAUGAAACAGUUAAAGGUAUCAAAAUGCCAACAGAUGUCAAAAGGAAUGGGCCCUGAAGUACCACAGAGUAGAACAACAGCUGGUGGAAAGGAAAAUUCCUCAGAAAUCAGAAUUGCUCAGCUUGUACAACGAAAGGAGGAUUGACAGGUAUACAACUGAAAUUCAUCCCACUUGGAAUGCGAUGAGAAGAAUUGCUUUCUAAGACAUACAGUUGAGUUUUAAUACUGAGUUAUAUGAACCCCUCUCCAGUGCUUUGACUGGGGUCACAAAGUGAAAAGGACACCACUGGGAACUAUGUGCAGGCCCCAGAGAAGUCACCUAUUUCUUAAGGGCUACAGGAGACCGUUCCUAGAUAAGAUGGUUUGUACUGCUCUGCUGCUAUAACUAACAUCCCAGAAAAUGGUUUGGGCCCAAACCAACUUCUUGUCUCCUGCACAGUCCUUAGCAGCAGCUCAGAAUAUAUAAAAUAUGGGACCUAUUCUUAAGAAGCAUUUUGAUUAUGGCUGCCUUUGUAUGACAGCAAUAGAGUUUAAUGUAUGAAUAUGUGCAACUGCAUGCUAGUUGGCCUCCAGGGUUUGCAAGCUUCCCAGAAAAAUUAAAUUGACUAGCACUGCUGCAGUCUUAGUUUUGCUUAUCCAAAUGUUUCUAUUUAUUCAUUUGCUUCUGCUUUAAGUCUAGAAAAUGUCUUUAUCAUUUUAGAGUACUUAUAAAUUAGCAAUUAGGACAGAUGAUAUCUCACAUUUCUUUUUUUUUUAAUGAAAAUUUUUCUUUAAAAAAAACAGAACAAUGUAGUUGAUAAGUGUGUAUGCUAAUAAAUUUUAAAUAAAAUCAAGUAUUUGUUGACCA
This 1350-nucleotide long non-coding RNA is filed under the name Anser brachyrhynchus (Pink-footed goose). RNAcentral's name for it is "lncRNA (ENSABRG00000013441.1)". The record is from RNAcentral. Lineage: Eukaryota; Metazoa; Chordata; Aves; Anseriformes; Anatidae.